GGGCGUUAAGUUGCAGGGUAUAGACCCGAAACCCGGUGAUCUAGCCAUGGGCAGGUUGAAGGUUGGGUAACACUAACUGGAGGACCGAACCGACUAAUGUUGAAAAAUUAGCGGAUGACCUGUGGCUGGGGGUGAAAGGCCAAUCAAACCGGGAGAUAGCUGGUUCUCCCCGAAAGCUAUUUAGGUAGCGCCUCGUGAAUUCAUCUCCGGGGGUAGAGCACUGUUUCGGCUAGGGGGCCAUCCCGGCUUACCAACCCGAUGCAAACUGCGAAUACCGGAGAAUGUUAUCACGGGAGACACACGGCGGGUGCUAACGUCCGUCGUGAAGAGGGAAACAACCCAGACCGCCAGCUAAGGUCCCAAAGUCAUGGUUAAGUGGGAAACGAUGUGGGAAGGCCCAGACAGCCAGGAUGUUGGCUUAGAAGCAGCCAUCAUUUAAAGAAAGCGUAAUAGCUCACUGGUCGAGUCGGCCUGCGCGGAAGAUGUAACGGGGCUAAACCAUGCACCGAAGCUGCGGCAGCGACACUGUGUGUUGUUGGGUAGGGGAGCGUUCUGUAAGCCUGUGAAGGUGUGUCGUGAGGCAUGCUGGAGGUAUCAGAAGUGCGAAUGCUGACAUAAGUAACGAUAAAGCGGGUGAAAAGCCCGCUCGCCGGAAGACCAAGGGUUCCUGUCCAACGUUAAUCGGGGCAGGGUGAGUCGACCCCUAAGGCGAGGCCGAAAGGCGUAGUCGAUGGGAAACGGGUUAAUAUUCCCGUACUUGGUGUUACUGCGAAGGGGGGACGGAGAAGGCUAUGUUGGCCGGGCGACGGUUGUCCCGGUUUAAGCGUGUAGGUGUGUGUUCCAGGUAAAUCCGGUUCACUUUAACACUGAGGCGUGACGACGAGGCACUACGGUGCUGAAGCAACAAAUGCCCUGCUUCCAGGAAAAGCCUCUAAGCAUCAGGUAACAUCAAAUCGUACCCCAAACCGACACAGGUGGUCAGGUAGAGAAUACCAAGGCGCUUGAGAGAACUCGGGUGAAGGAACUAGGCAAAAUGGUGCCGUAACUUCGGGAGAAGGCACGCUGACACGUAGGUGAAGUGAUUUACUCAUGGAGCUGAAGUCAGUCGAAGAUACCAGCUGGCUGCAACUGUUUAUUAAAAACACAGCACUGUGCAAACACGAAAGUGGACGUAUACGGUGUGACGCCUGCCCGGUGCCGGAAGGUUAAUUGAUGGGGUCAGCGCAAGCGAAGCUCCUGAUCGAAGCCCCGGUAAACGGCGGCCGUAACUAUAACGGUCCUAAGGUAGCGAAAUUCCUUGUCGGGUAAGUUCCGACCUGCACGAAUGGCGUAAUGAUGGCCAGGCUGUCUCCACCCGAGACUCAGUGAAAUUGAACUCGCUGUGAAGAUGCAGUGUACCCGCGGCAAGACGGAAAGACCCCGUGAACCUUUACUAUAGCUUGACACUGAACAUUGAGCCUUGAUGUGUAGGAUAGGUGGGAGGCUUUGAAGUGUGGACGCCAGUCUGCAUGGAGCCGACCUUGAAAUACCACCCUUUAAUGUUUGAUGUUCUAACGUGGACCCGUUACCCGGGUUGCGGACAGUGUCUGGUGGGUAGUUUGACUGGGGCGGUCUCCUCCUAAAGAGUAACGGAGGAGCACGAAGG
This 1645-nucleotide ribosomal RNA is filed under the name Salmonella enterica. Its description in RNAcentral is "partial 23S ribosomal RNA". It matches the Rfam family "Bacterial large subunit ribosomal RNA", at positions 690 to 2316 of the family's 2925-position model. The record is from RNAcentral. Lineage: Bacteria; Pseudomonadati; Pseudomonadota; Gammaproteobacteria; Enterobacterales; Enterobacteriaceae.